GAAGCUAAAGAUUCAUCUUGGCUUUAACUUUGACAUUUUAUCUCGCAAAACUGGGCUCAAUGCCUUAUCCUCCUACUCAUGUUCCAGAUCAACUAGGUCUUUAGGUUAAGAAAAACAUCUGACUUUUAAGGAGAAAACACAGAGAAAAGGUUCAGGAAGCUUGUCCCAAUGUCUGGGCACAAAGAGAGGAAUGAAGGACUCCAUUUCCUUCUGUCAUCCGUUUAUCUAAAC
This 231-nucleotide long non-coding RNA is filed under the name Bos taurus (domestic cattle). RNAcentral's name for it is "long non-coding RNA NONBTAT015288". The record is from RNAcentral. Lineage: Eukaryota; Metazoa; Chordata; Mammalia; Artiodactyla; Bovidae.